UGAGCAAUCUGCCCUUCUCAUCGGAAUAAGCGUUGGAAACGACGUCUAAUGCCGAAUACGACCUCCUUUCGCAUGAUCGGAGGUGGAAAGCUCCGGCGGAGAAGGAUGAGCUCGCGGCCUAUCAGCUAGUUGGUGUGGGUAAUGGCCCACCAAGGCGACGACGGGUAGCCGGCCUGAGAGGGUGACCGGCCACACUGGAACUGAGACACGGCCAGACUCCUACGGAGGCGACG
Molecule: ribosomal RNA, 233 nt
Filed under: uncultured bacterium
Lineage: Bacteria
Description: partial 16S ribosomal RNA
Rfam family: Bacterial small subunit ribosomal RNA
Source: RNAcentral